Molecule: non-coding RNA, 46 nt
Filed under: Schistosoma curassoni
Lineage: Eukaryota; Metazoa; Platyhelminthes; Trematoda; Strigeidida; Schistosomatidae
Source: RNAcentral
GCACUGCUGAAGAGUCCCAUACUAGGACGAAACGGCCGUCCAGUGU